AAGUAAAAAAUUGCUUAAGGUGCCCGUUUGGGAGAAUAGGGAAGUCCGGUGCAAAUCCGGUGCGGUCCCGCCACUGUAAAGGGGAGCUUCUUAAAAUAUCCACUGGCUAUAAUGCCGGGAAGGGUUAAGCAGCUAUGAACCUCAGCCAGGAGACCUGCCUUAAGAAUCGGUUUUCC
This 176-nucleotide non-coding RNA is filed under the name Tepidanaerobacter syntrophicus. The record is from RNAcentral. Lineage: Bacteria; Bacillati; Bacillota; Clostridia; Thermosediminibacterales; Tepidanaerobacteraceae.